RNAcentral lists this transfer RNA (86 nucleotides) under Rhodoplanes sp. RNAcentral describes it as "tRNA-Leu". It matches the Rfam family "tRNA". Rfam says of the family: Transfer RNA (tRNA) molecules are approximately 80 nucleotides in length. Their secondary structure includes four short double-helical elements and three loops (D, anti-codon, and T loops). The record is from RNAcentral. Lineage: Bacteria; Pseudomonadati; Pseudomonadota; Alphaproteobacteria; Hyphomicrobiales; Nitrobacteraceae.
GCCCCUGUGGCGGAAUGGUAGACGCGCCUGACUCAAAAUCAGGUGGUUGCAAGACCGUGCUGGUUCGAGUCCGGCCAGGGGCACCA